This is a non-coding RNA of Manis javanica (Malayan pangolin), 777 nucleotides long. Lineage: Eukaryota; Metazoa; Chordata; Mammalia; Pholidota; Manidae. The record is from RefSeq and is a predicted model, not a curated record.
GGUGCUAUCGGCAGAUCUGAGGGCCCAGUGCCUUCGAGUUUCUGGAGCCCGGUGGACACAGGAGUGCAGGAGCAGAGGACAGAGGCAUGGUGGGUGAACUCAGUGGAUGUGGCAUUGGUGCCAGAAGACAGAGAGCCGGCACCUGGGAUAGUCAUAAACACGUGGAAGGCGCUUUUCAUGUCCCAGAGUCCUUCAUUAGCAGGGACGUAUGCAUAUUUAAGGAUAUGCCGCCAACAUAUUGGAGCAGGCACCUACGUGGAGGAGCGGGGACGGUGAUGAAGGGGCAGGAAGGAGACCACGCAUGGACCAUGCAUGAACUGGACCUUCAGUGCGCUGUGUGCAGAGGAGUGUGAGGCCCCGAAAGUUUGAACCUGUGCUCAGAAAGAAAGAAGAAAAAGCAACCCGUGGAGUCGAUUCCUGCUUUAGAGCUGAGAAGGCUGAGGCCCGGUGCAGUGAGGCGGCUUGGCGGAGACGGCCUGCUGGUGCUGGCCCAGCGUUCCGGCUUGCGAUCCAGCCCUCCUCUGCCUGUGAGCAGAGGCCCCUUGAGCAGUACUGUCAGGCCCACCCGGCCAGCGCUCAGUAGUGGGUGGCCUUGGGUUAGCACCUAGCCUCUCGCUGUCCCUGGAGGGCUGGCCCUGGCCUGGGGCAUUUCUGUGCAUCCUGCCCUGCCUCUCUGGGAGCUCAGUGCCAUCACUCCCUGGUGUGUCCUACUUAACGGGAAGUGGAGCAGUUUAGAAACAACCCAGAAAGCUGAGACGGGCGUCCACGCAGCCCCAC